This 1530-nucleotide ribosomal RNA is filed under the name Escherichia coli O104:H4 str. C236-11. RNAcentral's name for it is "bacterial SSU rRNA". It matches the Rfam family "Bacterial small subunit ribosomal RNA". The record is from RNAcentral. Lineage: Bacteria; Pseudomonadati; Pseudomonadota; Gammaproteobacteria; Enterobacterales; Enterobacteriaceae.
AGAGUUUGAUCAUGGCUCAGAUUGAACGCUGGCGGCAGGCCUAACACAUGCAAGUCGAACGGUAACAGGAAGCAGCUUGCUGUUUCGCUGACGAGUGGCGGACGGGUGAGUAAUGUCUGGGAAACUGCCUGAUGGAGGGGGAUAACUACUGGAAACGGUAGCUAAUACCGCAUAACGUCGCAAGACCAAAGAGGGGGACCUUCGGGCCUCUUGCCAUCGGAUGUGCCCAGAUGGGAUUAGCUUGUUGGUGGGGUAACGGCUCACCAAGGCGACGAUCCCUAGCUGGUCUGAGAGGAUGACCAGCCACACUGGAACUGAGACACGGUCCAGACUCCUACGGGAGGCAGCAGUGGGGAAUAUUGCACAAUGGGCGCAAGCCUGAUGCAGCCAUGCCGCGUGUAUGAAGAAGGCCUUCGGGUUGUAAAGUACUUUCAGCGGGGAGGAAGGGAGUAAAGUUAAUACCUUUGCUCAUUGACGUUACCCGCAGAAGAAGCACCGGCUAACUCCGUGCCAGCAGCCGCGGUAAUACGGAGGGUGCAAGCGUUAAUCGGAAUUACUGGGCGUAAAGCGCACGCAGGCGGUUUGUUAAGUCAGAUGUGAAAUCCCCGGGCUCAACCUGGGAACUGCAUCUGAUACUGGCAAGCUUGAGUCUCGUAGAGGGGGGUAGAAUUCCAGGUGUAGCGGUGAAAUGCGUAGAGAUCUGGAGGAAUACCGGUGGCGAAGGCGGCCCCCUGGACGAAGACUGACGCUCAGGUGCGAAAGCGUGGGGAGCAAACAGGAUUAGAUACCCUGGUAGUCCACGCCGUAAACGAUGUCGACUUGGAGGUUGUGCCCUUGAGGCGUGGCUUCCGGAGCUAACGCGUUAAGUCGACCGCCUGGGGAGUACGGCCGCAAGGUUAAAACUCAAAUGAAUUGACGGGGGCCCGCACAAGCGGUGGAGCAUGUGGUUUAAUUCGAUGCAACGCGAAGAACCUUACCUGGUCUUGACAUCCACGGAAGUUUCCAGAGAUGGAUUGGUGCCUUCGGGAACCGUGAGACAGGUGCUGCAUGGCUGUCGUCAGCUCGUGUUGUGAAAUGUUGGGUUAAGUCCCGCAACGAGCGCAACCCUUAUCCUUUGUUGCCAGCGGUCCGGCCGGGAACUCAAAGGAGACUGCCAGUGAUAAACUGGAGGAAGGUGGGGAUGACGUCAAGUCAUCAUGGCCCUUACGACCAGGGCUACACACGUGCUACAAUGGCGCAUACAAAGAGAAGCGACCUCGCGAGAGCAAGCGGACCUCAUAAAGUGCGUCGUAGUCCGGAUUGGAGUCUGCAACUCGACUCCAUGAAGUCGGAAUCGCUAGUAAUCGUGGAUCAGAAUGCCACGGUGAAUACGUUCCCGGGCCUUGUACACACCGCCCGUCACACCAUGGGAGUGGGUUGCAAAAGAAGUAGGUAGCUUAACCUUCGGGAGGGCGCUUACCACUUUGUGAUUCAUGACUGGGGUGAAGUCGUAACAAGGUAACCGUAGGGGAACCUGCGGUUGGAUCACCU